AGCAGCCGCGGUAAUUCCAGCUCCAAUAGCGUAUAUUAAAGUUGUUGCAGUUAAAAAGCUCGUAGUUGAAUUUCGGGAUUGGCGCAUCGGUCGUGCCUCACGGGGUAUGAACUGGUGCAGUCAAUUUCUCACCUUCUGGAGAACCGCGAUGUCCUUAAUUGGAUGCCGCGGGGAACCAGGACCUUUACUUUGAAAAAAUUAGAGUGUUUAAAGCAGGCAUUUUUGCUUGAAUACAUUAGCAUGGAAUAAUAAAAUAGGACGGCAUGGUUCUAUUUUGUUGGUUUCUAGGACCACCGUAAUGAUUAAUAGGGAUAGUUGGGGGCAUUAGUAUUCAAUUGUCAGAGGUGAAAUUCUUGGAUUUAUUGAAGACUAACUACUGCGAAAGCAUUUGCCAAGGAUGUUUUCAUUAAUCAAGAACGAAAGUCAGGGGAUCGAAGACGAUCAGAUACCGUCGUAGUCUUAACCAUAAACUAUGCCGACUAGGAAUCAG
This 490-nucleotide ribosomal RNA is filed under the name uncultured Entrophospora. Its description in RNAcentral is "SSU rRNA". It matches the Rfam family "Eukaryotic small subunit ribosomal RNA", at positions 569 to 1056 of the family's 1831-position model. Lineage: Eukaryota; Fungi; Glomeromycota; Glomeromycetes; Entrophosporales; Entrophosporaceae. The record is from RNAcentral.